RNAcentral lists this ribosomal RNA (499 nucleotides) under uncultured bacterium. RNAcentral describes it as "bacterial SSU rRNA". It matches the Rfam family "Bacterial small subunit ribosomal RNA", at positions 28 to 507 of the family's 1533-position model. The record is from RNAcentral.
GACGAACGCUGGCGGCGUGUCUAAUACAUGCAAGUCGAGCGGAAUGAAGAGAAGCUUGCUUCUUCUGAUUUUAGCGGCGGACGGGUGAGUAACACGUGGGCAACCUACCUUGUAGAUUGGGAUGACUCCGGGAAACCGGGGCUAAUACCGAAUAAUCCAUUUUGCUUCAUGGCGAGAUGUUAAAAGGCGGCUUCGGCUGUCACUACGAGAUGGGCCCGCGGCGCAUUAGCUAGUUGGUAGGGUAAUGGCCUACCAAGGCGACGAUGCGUAGCCGACCUGAGAGGGUGAUCGGCCACACUGGGACUGAGACACGGCCCAGACUCCUACGGGAGGCAGCAGUAGGGAAUCUUCCACAAUGGACGAAAGUCUGAUGGAGCAACGCCGCGUGAGUGAAGAAGGUUUUCGGAUCGUAAAACUCUGUUGUAAGGGAAGAACACGUACGAGAGUAACUGCUCGUACCUUGACGGUACCUUAUUAGAAAGCCACGGCUAACUACGUG